Molecule: long non-coding RNA, 382 nt
Organism: Mauremys reevesii (Reeves's turtle)
Lineage: Eukaryota; Metazoa; Chordata; Testudines; Geoemydidae
Exons: 4
Source: RefSeq, a predicted model, not a curated record
CUGGCUGACUCACUUCUUCUCUUGCUGGAUUGGCAUGUUGCAAUACUUCCCGCUAAGGAGCAGCAUAGUUGCUCUGUCUUGGAAGCAGAGCAAGGACUUGGAUUGUCCCUGAGCUGUCUGUCACUCUGUGAUCUAUUCCUCUUUGACAGCCCCAUCACCGCCUUCUAGUAUCUUGGGGUCUCUUCUUUUGCUGCCAUCAAACUCAAGGAGACGGCAUUCAGGAAGUAAAGACAAUGAAAGAGCUUUAAAGGUGACAACUGCUCUGAAGGAGACCUGUUUAUGCACUGCUAUAGAUCAGAAAUGCUAUGCUUCUUCCAGCCCGUUACAGCCAAAGAGCUAUGGAUUUUCCAUGUAGCUGACUCAUAAGAGCCUUACAAUUAUU